UACGAAGAGGGCUAGCGGUGUUCGGAAUCACUGGGCGUAAAGCGCACGCAGGCGGAUCGAUAAGUCGGGGGUGAAAGCCCGGGGCUCAACCUCGGAAUUGACUUCGAUACUGUCGGUCUCGAGUCCGGGAGAGGUGAGUGGAAUUCCUAGUGUAGAGGUGAAAUUCGUAGAUAUUAGGAAGAACACCAGUGGCGAAGGCGGCUCACUGGCCCGGUACUGACGCUCAGGUGAGAAAGCGUGGGGAGCAAACAGG
This 253-nucleotide ribosomal RNA is filed under the name uncultured bacterium. RNAcentral's name for it is "partial 16S ribosomal RNA". It matches the Rfam family "Bacterial small subunit ribosomal RNA", at positions 524 to 776 of the family's 1533-position model. The record is from RNAcentral.